GCGCGGUAUAAAUGCAGGCGGACUGGCGCCACGAGCGCGCCAACUAAGCCCUGGGGCGGGGUUGCGCGCGCAGGUGAGGGGCCGGAACCGGGCCACCUGCGAGUCGGAUCUAGGGGAGGCGGGUCCGCCCACCACCCACCUGCUUCCGCCUGACGUGAACCCGGAAGUUGCUACUUCAGCUCUCCCACCCAGGAUUCUUAGCAGUAUCUGUGGAGCGCUGGGAGGAAGGAAGCAGAGAUCUCAUCAGAUGUGUGGUGCCUUGGUGCUGUCACAGUCUACCCCGCACUCCUGCUUCAAAAGGUUGCAGACAAAAUCAAUAUGA
Molecule: long non-coding RNA, 322 nt
Filed under: Fukomys damarensis (Damara mole-rat)
Lineage: Eukaryota; Metazoa; Chordata; Mammalia; Rodentia; Bathyergidae
Description: lncRNA (ENSFDAG00000022867.1)
Source: RNAcentral